UGCCAGCAGCCGCGGUAAUACGGAGGGGGUUAGCGUUGUUCGGAAUUACUGGGCGUAAAGCGCGCGUAGGCGGAUUGGAAAGUUGGGGGUGAAAUCCCGGGGCUCAACCCCGGAACUGCCUCCAAAACUGCCAGUCUAGAGUGUGUCAGAGGGGGGUAGAAUUCCAAGUGUAGCAGUGAAAUGCGUAGAGAUUUGGAGGAACACCAGUGGCGAAGGCGGCUCACUGGCUCGAUACUGACGCUGAGGUACGAAAGUGUGGGGAGCAAACAGGAUUAGAUA
Molecule: ribosomal RNA, 279 nt
Filed under: uncultured bacterium
Lineage: Bacteria
Description: partial 16S ribosomal RNA
Rfam family: Bacterial small subunit ribosomal RNA
Source: RNAcentral